CCGCCUAGUGAGAGGCGGUCCGAUUUGGCCCUUGGGGAGUGUCCGUCGCGUUGAUCUGAUGGAUUCACGUACACAACACCACAUUCUAUGAGAUUUUGCAGGCAAAAGUCCACAAGCUCGAUAUAUGGGACACCUGCACCGGCAUUGGAUUUGGCCCCGCAACAUCUUAAAGGAAGCAGGCUGUGAGCCAAGGGGAAGGCAGAGGACAGAAAUGAAUGUGUUUCCAGGCUUUCCUGGUGGUUUAUGGCAUUCUCCAAACUCCUAUGCAAGGGCUAUUCCUGACCAAGAAGAUCUAAAGAGAACGUCUCUGAAAUCAAGUCCGGAUGAAGGUAUGUGAUAGGGAUCCCUUGGUAUUGCGACUGAAAUUUGGCUCAGAGGACAUAAUGCCUUCUUUUUUUCCAGGCAAUUUGGAGAUUUUGUCCUGCCUUAGAUGCUGGUUAGAGGCUUUAGGUUUGUUACCAGUCCAGAAAAGAUGCCUAGGUAGUUCUGUAAAAUGAAAAUUCAUCAGAGUAUGUGUCAGUUGAAAAAUUGGAUGGAAAUUGUGUAUAGUGAUAAUUAAUGAAACAAAGCACUCAUUGAUGAAAA
This 585-nucleotide long non-coding RNA is filed under the name Homo sapiens (human). RNAcentral describes it as "non-protein coding lnc-DUSP16-4:2". Lineage: Eukaryota; Metazoa; Chordata; Mammalia; Primates; Hominidae. The record is from RNAcentral.